Gossypium arboreum is the source of this 272-nucleotide long non-coding RNA. RefSeq lists it as uncharacterized. The record is from RefSeq and is a predicted model, not a curated record. The transcript is spliced from 2 exons. NCBI's taxonomy places the organism in Eukaryota, Viridiplantae, Streptophyta, Magnoliopsida, Malvales, Malvaceae.
AAAUCGAUUAAUGUUUUUGGUAAGCUGCAAAAUUUGGACUGUAAAGUGUAUGAUUUAUGUGCCCUCGAUAUUUUUGGGCUUAAUGGGCCAAAAUUGGAAUGAUGGGCCAACGGGCCCAAUUCGGUAAUCCCCAACCAUAGUGGGCUUGGAGCUGUGAGGGAAUUCGGAGUGGCCACCCGUUCUGAAAGUUUGAUUUUCUUCUGGUGAACUGGACAUCCUUUUAUUUACGUUUGAAGUUUUGGGUUUUUAAAUGUAAUAAGGCCGCUUAAUUA